RNAcentral lists this ribosomal RNA (439 nucleotides) under uncultured bacterium. RNAcentral describes it as "partial 16S ribosomal RNA". It matches the Rfam family "Bacterial small subunit ribosomal RNA", at positions 339 to 795 of the family's 1533-position model. The record is from RNAcentral.
CUACGGGUUGCAGCAGUAACGAAUAUUGCGCAAUGGACGAAAGUCUGACGCAGCGACGCCGCGUGCAGGACGAAGCCCCUCGGGGUGUAAACUGCUGUUAGGGUGAAGAAAGAUCUGAUCGAUCCCAAAGAAAGCCACGGCUAACUUCGUGCCAGCAGCCGCGGUAAUACGAAGGUGGCAAGCGUUGUUCGGAAUCACUGGGCUUAAAGCGCGCGUAGGCGGAAUAUUAAGUGUCUUGUGAAAUCCCCCGGCUCAACCGGGGAACUGCAGGACAUACUGAUAUUCUUGAGGCAAUCAGGGGUGCAUGGAACUCUGGGUGGAGCGGUGAAAUGCGUAGAUAUCCAGAGGAACGCCUGUGGAGAAAUCGGUGCACUGGGAUUGUUCUGACGCUGAGGUGCGAAAGCGUGGGUAGCGAACGGGAUUAGAUACCCGUGUAGUC